GUGUACCUAUCCCGCGCCCCUCUCUCUCUGAUCCGGCCCACACCUCUUCUCUUCUCUCUUCAAUUCUGAACAGUAUUCUCUCUCUCGCAGCUCCCUCUCUCUCAUAGUUCCCUCUCUCUCUCAGCUCCCUCUUAAUUUCUCCGUCUAACCUCAUCCCAUCGUGUACCUCGAUCCCGCGCCUCUCUCCCCCUCAACUCUUCUCUUCUCUUUUCUAAACAACACUCUCUCUCUCUCUCUCUCUCUCUCUCUCUCACACACACACACACACACACUCUCUCUCUCUCUCUCUCAACUCUCUCUCUCUCUCUCUCAGCUCCCUCUUUCUCCAUUUGACCUCUUCCCCCGUAGGCCGUCCUCGCUCACUAAUCUUUCUCCACCGCGGUGCAGCAUUCUCAGUCGGCCGUCCUCGCUCUGCCGGUACCGAUCGAACUCCUCCCCCCCUCUAGCCGACCUCCUCAUCACAGUACUGUUUGACAGAGGGAUCAAUACGAUGGUCAGAGGACGACGUGUAUGCGAUUGCUAUGGGGAAGCCGAAACACUCCGGCUGUGUAUGAGGGGUACCUGGGGAACUACAGCACAAAUCUAGCAGUCGUUUGACUAGGCCAUCAUCGCAAGACUCACAGGUUUCUACUUUACUAGGUGAGAUUGGUAUGUUGAAGGGAUUAUUGAUGGCACAGCAGGAACGGUUCCAGGCACAUGUAGAAUAGUACGAGUCACAGCAGCAACUCUACGAGUCACAACAUUAACUCAUCCACAAACAACAAGAGGAUAUGUUGCAGAUGCAGAAGAUGCUUGAAAUUGUUAUGGCUAAUACAGGAACUAGCAGCCAAUUUUCAAUGUCGGACACAGAGUACUCUCCCGGCCAUGUGAGAGCGAGAUUAUCAGUGGCCAGUCGUCUAGGUGUGGAACUGCAACUGCAGAGGAUGAACGGAGCUACACACAUUUCUUGUGGUUCAUCAUAAAAUAAUCGUUAACAGCUGUUGGUCUAGGAGUCAACUAGCAAGUUGGAAGUGCAUCAAGAUUUUGUGAUUGUAUUACUUUUAAUACUUUGUUUGGGUUAUUUUAUUCCUUUGAUUAAACUUGAGUAUUGCUUUGGAUACAUAUUAUGAGAUUAAACUUUUACUAUGUUGUUUUGGAUAUUAUUUAUGGGUUUAACUUGAGUGUUGUUUUUUAUAUUAGUUAUGAGCUGAACUUGAGUCUUGA
Long non-coding RNA from Corylus avellana, 1203 nucleotides. RefSeq lists it as uncharacterized. NCBI's taxonomy places the organism in Eukaryota, Viridiplantae, Streptophyta, Magnoliopsida, Fagales, Betulaceae. The record is from RefSeq and is a predicted model, not a curated record.